This 433-nucleotide ribosomal RNA is filed under the name uncultured bacterium. Its description in RNAcentral is "partial 16S ribosomal RNA". It matches the Rfam family "Bacterial small subunit ribosomal RNA", at positions 29 to 507 of the family's 1533-position model. The record is from RNAcentral.
AACGAACGCUGGCGGCAUGCCUAACACAUGCAAGUCGAACGAGACCUUCGGGUCUAGUGGCGCACGGGUGCGUAACGCGUGGGAACCUGCCCUUAGGUUCGGAAUAACUCCCCGAAAGGGGUGCUAAUACCGGAUAAUGUCUUAUGACCAAAGAUUUAUCGCCUUUGGAUGGGCCCGCGUUGGAUUAGCUAGUUGGUAGGGUAAAAGCCUACCAAGGCGACGAUCCAUAGCUGGUCUGAGAGGAUGAUCGGCCACACUGGGACUGAGACACGGCCCAGACUCCUACGGGAGGCAGCAGUGGGGAAUAUUGGACAAUGGGCGAAAGCCUGAUCCAGCAAUGCCGCGUGAGUGAUGAAGGCCUUAGGGUUGUAAAGCUCUUUUAACCGGGAUGAUAAUGACAGUACCGGGAGAAUAAGCUCCGGCUAACUCCGUG